CAUAGGGCACGCUGUCAAGGGGAAAGAAGGGGUCCGAGGACAGAAGAGAGCCCAGGUAGGAGUCAUCCCUCAAGGCCGCUGGCACAUUUAAACUACAGCAAGCCCUUAAGCUUCAGAUCGGGAUUUCUUUCUGCCCUCCCAGUUGUGCAAUAACUAAACUUGGACACGCAAGGUCAGGGAGAAGGAUGGAGGAUGCAGUGAAGUGGAACUCAUAGGCAGCCACCCCUUCUCUACACAGCAGAGCUG
This is a non-coding RNA of Danio rerio (zebrafish), 246 nucleotides long. Lineage: Eukaryota; Metazoa; Chordata; Actinopteri; Cypriniformes; Danionidae. The record is from Ensembl.